AGUGAACGCUGGCGGCGUGCUUAACACAUGCAAGUCGAACGAUGAAGCUUUAGCUUGCUAGAGCGGAUUAGUGGCGCACGGGUGAGUAAUGUAUAGUUAAUCUGCCCUUUAGAGGGGGAUAACAGUUGGAAACGACUGCUAAUACCCCAUACUCCUUCUAUAUUAAUUAUAGUUGGGAAAGUUUUUCGCUAAAGGAUGAGACUAUAUGGUAUCAGCUAGUUGGUGAGGUAAUGGCUCACCAAGGCAAUGACACCUAGCUGGUCUGAGAGGAUGAUCAGCCACACUGGAACUGAGACACGGUCCAGACUCCUACGGGUGGCUG
Molecule: ribosomal RNA, 322 nt
Filed under: uncultured Pseudomonadota bacterium
Lineage: Bacteria; Pseudomonadati; Pseudomonadota
Description: bacterial SSU rRNA
Rfam family: Bacterial small subunit ribosomal RNA
Source: RNAcentral